UGAGACACGGCCCAGACUCCUACGGGAGGCAGCAGUGGGGAAUAUUGCACAAUGGAGGAAACUCUGAUGCAGCAAUGCCGCGUGUGUGAAGAAGGCCUUAGGGUUGUAAAGCACUUUCAGACGUGAGGAAAAGUUAUCUAUUAAUACUAGGUAGCCCUGACGUUAACGUCAGAAGAAGCACCGGCUAACUCCGUGCCAGCAGCCGCGGUAAUACGGAGGGUGCAAGCGUUAAUCGGAAUUACUGGGCGUAAAGCGCGCGUAGGCGGUUAAAUAAGUCAGAUGUGAAAUCCCUGGGCUCAACCUAGGAACUGCAUUUGAAACUGUUUGGCUAGAGUAUGGUAGAGGUGAGUGGAAUUUCAGGUGUAGCGGUGAAAUGCGUAGAGAUCUGAAGGAACAUCAGUGGCGAAGGCGACUCACUGGGCCAUUACUGACGCUGAGGUGCGAAAGCGUGGGUAGCAAACAGGAUUAGAUACCCUGGUAGUCCACGCCCUAAACGAUGUCAACUAGGUGUGUGAGAGUCUAACUCUUGCGUAUCGAAGCUAACGCGAUAAGUUGACCGCCUGGGGAGUACGGCCGCAAGGCUAAAACUCAAAUGAAUUGACGGGGGCCCGCACAAGCGGUGGAGCAUGUGGUUUAAUUCGAUGCAACGCGAAGAACCUUACCUGGUCUUGACAUGUAGCGAAAGUUAGAGAGAUCUGACUGUGCCUUCGGGAACGCUAACACAGGUGCU
This 730-nucleotide ribosomal RNA is filed under the name uncultured bacterium. RNAcentral describes it as "bacterial SSU rRNA". It matches the Rfam family "Bacterial small subunit ribosomal RNA", at positions 320 to 1042 of the family's 1533-position model. The record is from RNAcentral.